RNAcentral lists this transfer RNA (66 nucleotides) under Podarcis lilfordi (Lilford's wall lizard). Its description in RNAcentral is "tRNA.Ala". The stretch from base 3 to 58 matches the Rfam family "tRNA", at positions 9 to 63 of the family's 71-position model. From Rfam's summary of the family: Transfer RNA (tRNA) molecules are approximately 80 nucleotides in length. Lineage: Eukaryota; Metazoa; Chordata; Lepidosauria; Squamata; Lacertidae. The record is from RNAcentral.
GCAGCUCAGUAGUAGAGCAUCUGCUUUGCAUGCAGAAGGUCCCCGGUUCAAUCCCUGGAUGAACUG